RNAcentral lists this ribosomal RNA (275 nucleotides) under uncultured bacterium. RNAcentral's name for it is "partial small subunit ribosomal RNA". It matches the Rfam family "Bacterial small subunit ribosomal RNA", at positions 26 to 285 of the family's 1533-position model. The record is from RNAcentral.
AGAAUCAACGCUGGCGGCGUGCCUAACACAUGCAAGUCGAACGCGAAAGCCCCGCAAGGGGUGAGUAGAGUGGCAAACGGGUGAGUAACACGUGGGUGACCUGCCUCAGAGUGGGGGAUAACGACCCGAAAAGGGUCGCUAAUACCGCAUAACAUCCUGCGCUUGGAUGCGUGGAGAUCAAAGCCGGGGAUUCGCAAGAACCUGGCGCUUGGAGAGGGGCCCGCGGCCGAUUAGCUAGUUGGUGAGGUAACGGCCCACCAAGGCGACGAUCGGUA